This 6259-nucleotide long non-coding RNA is filed under the name Prunus persica (peach). RNAcentral describes it as "long non-coding RNA (PPER_LNC002809)". The record is from RNAcentral. Lineage: Eukaryota; Viridiplantae; Streptophyta; Magnoliopsida; Rosales; Rosaceae.
CAGUUGCACAGGGAAUUCCGUAAGCCUCUUAUUGUGAUGGCUCCUAAAAACCUGCUACGGCACAAGGAGUGCAAAUCAAAUUUAUCCGAAUUUGAUGAUGUGCAAGGCCACCCAGGUUUUGACAAGCAGGGGACCAGAUUUAAGCGCCUCAUCAAGGACCAGAAUGACCACUCUGAUCUAGAGGAGGGUAUUAGACGUCUAGUUCUUUGCUCUGGGAAGGUACUAUAUUCAAGGAACAAAUUAUGACUUAUAUAAUUUUAUCUUAGCCAAGAAACAAAUAGUUAAUUCUAUCGCGUGCGCUGUAUUUCGGGUUUCCCUUGCUUGCAUGCAGCUUUAUUAUGAGCUUGACGAAGAGCGAAGAAAUGUUGAAGCAAAGGAUGUAGCAAUUUGUAGAGUGGAACAGCUUUGCCCCUUCCCAUAUGACCUUAUCCAGCGAGAGCUGAAGCGAUAUCCAAGUAUGUACCUCGAACUUUCCAUUCGAAAAGAUCACAUUGUACUAGCUGUGAAAUCAAAUCAGGCGAUAAAUUUUGCUGACACCAUGAGGUUGACAUUUCCUAAUUUGAUUCCUUCAGAUGCUGAGAUAGUUUGGUGCCAGGAAGAGCCAAUGAACAUGGGUGCAUACAGUUAUAUUGCACCCCGCCUUUGCGCCGCCAUGAAGUCUCUCAGCAGAGGAACGAUCGACGACAUCAAAUAUGUUGGCCGUGCUCCAUCAGCUUCCACAGCCACUGGUUUCCCUCAGGUUCAUGAGAAGGAACAAAGCGAGAUUUUGCACAACGCUGUGCAGCCGGAGCCAAUUGAGUAUCACAUAAUCUGAAGCCCGUGCUUAUCUAUCCAAAACCAAACAAUGACGUGUUUAUAGAUCCUUACAUAAUACUAUAUCUGAAGUUUCCUAUCCUGAUUUUCUGUUGAUCCAAAUGGUGAUUUUUCACCAUGGUAUUCCAAGCAAGCCGAACGGCGUCUCAAACAGUCAGAUUUUUUUUUUUUUUUACUUCUCUCAUGUGAUGAUGCACAAGUGUUUUUGAGAUUAAUGUCAAGAUGCUUUUUCAUUAAAUAACACAAGAUGCUUUAUCUUCACAGUAUUUUACCUUCCUGUAUUAAAUCUUUGCUUGUCUUGAUGUGGAUAUAGAUAAUCAGGUAUGAGCUUCUGGUCAAGAAAAGGUGUUUUAUUUGCCUAGUUUCACUGAUAUCGUAAAGUAUCUCUUCAAAAUUCAAACAUUGUGAAUUUACCUUCCUGCAAUAAACCCUGCUCGAAUUUACAUCAUUACUCAGUGUUUCUCCACAAUUUUUAUAAUGCACUAACACUUAGGGGUGGCAAUGAGUGGUGUCGUGUUGAGGUUGCACAAGAGUGAUGGGUUGGUGUUACCAUCCCUAAUAAACGAGACGACUCAUUGCCAAAACCCACUUGUUUAUUAAUUGUGUCUUAACAGAUUGACUAGAAUUUGACCCGAAAGUUUUAUUGUGCGGAUUGCGAAUAGUUUAUUGGGUUGAGUUGGAAAUUUCCACCCCUAUUUAUAAGUUAUUAUACACCCAAUAAACUGACGCAACAACCCGAAACCCAGUUGCUCUUGAAUUUGGGUGAGAUAUGAGCAGAUUUAGCGAAAAGUGCACAUUGGCAAGAUGAUUUUUCUUGCCGCAGAAGGGAUCCUAUAUGAAAUAUGCCUCUUUUUAUGUGAGUGAUUUAGAGAGGGCUAAAGAACACCACAGAUAAAAUAUGCUUCACAAAGUUUUCUGAUUUAAACAUACCUUUAUCAGAAAAUAAGAACCAACCAUUCAUAGAAAAAGAUGUUGCAAAGUAUCGAAUGGUGCAGCUUCUUUGUGUGAGCAACAAGGUUCUCCAAUUUGACUUUUUUUUUUCUUGGGAGAUUCACUAUUAUAACCAAUAUAUGUAUUCAAAUUAUUAAAAAAUUAUACAUGAAUUAGACUUUAGAAACACACCUGAAGCUCAUUUACAGUAUAACAAAGAAGUUUCGAAAUUCCUAUAAAUUACAAAACUGUCAUUGAUUUAUUAAAACAAACUCAACCCAAAACCUCAUUAAAAAAAAUCCAAAAUUUUAUAGGUCAUCAAAGUAAUUUAAUAAUCAAAAUUAAAUUUAAUAGGGCCAGUUGUCAUUUUUUGAAUUUGUUUAUAAAAAUUAAAUGACGUAGAAUUUAUCUAUGUCAUUAAUGUUAAAAAUAGAUAUAUAACUAAAUAUCUCUUUUUUCUUUAUAAAAGCCUCAAGUUUUGUCCCCCCGUGAUGAGUUAAAUAAAACAGACUGAGAUGAGAAGUUCCGACUGAAAAAAAUAAUAAUAAAAAGGAAACAAAGUGUUGAAGUAGUUUGAAAAAGAAGCAAGCCAGAUGAAGAAGGAAAAGAUCUUGGGAUUGAUUUGGGCAUACAAUUUCCAUAAAUCAACAUGAUGUUUGGGCUUGGGCAUGGAUUUGGGCCUACUUUACCCGACCCAUCCAUAUUAAAAUAUUAAAAUAAUAAGGAAGUAAGAUUUUUCGGUUCAGACAAUUAACCAAAAAGGAAUAAAAUGUUGCACUCAGAAAGCUCACAAAAGUCACCGUCGCUACCCAGCGAUUAGGGUUCCCUAUUCUUUUCUCCCUUCUAUAUCCCUCGUUUUCUCUACCUCGGUCACUCUCAGGUAUUCCCUAAUCUCCGUCGAUUUCAAGCCUUUAUCUUUCGGGUUUUUUUAUUUUUUUAUAUCUCGUUUCCUGUUGACUGAAACGAAACUUUUGUUUCUCAAAGCAUUAGGUUCACGGAACAGUAUCGUUUCUCUGUGGAUCAAAAUUGUCAGAAUAGUUCUCAUGCAUCAGUUUUGUUAAAUUUUUUUUGUUUCAUUUUGAAAAUAAUCUCUGUGAUCUCAUUCAAGUUUGAUGCACUCAUUUUCCAGUGUGUAUGUAUGAAUGUAUUAAAAGAUAUGAUAAUUGGUAUGCUUAUUUGAUUUGUUUUUGGAUUGGUCUGAACAGGGUUUUGAUUGAUGUUCUGAAGAUUUGUGACGUAGAAUUUUCUGUUGAAUUGGAUAAAAUUGUGUGAUAGAUUGGGUUGCUAGCUAUGACUUGGUUUAGAGCAGGGUCUAGCGUGGCAAAACUUGCCAUUAGGAGAACUCUAUCACACAGUGGAUCAUAUGCAGGUAGGAGGCGGGUCCUUCCGUCGCAAAAUCGAGACUUUCACACCACUUUAUGUAAAUCAAAGGCGCAAUCUGCCCCAGUUCCACGCCCUGUACCUCUCUCUAGGCUAACUGAUAGUUUCCUGGAUGGAACCAGCAGUGUUUAUUUGGAGGGGCUUCAGAGGGCUUGGGAAGCCGACCCCAAUAGCGUUGAUGAGUCAUGGGACAAUUUCUUUAGGAAUUUUGUUGGUCAGGCCUCUACCUCGCCAGGAAUUUCAGGCCAAACCAUUCAAGAGAGUAUGCGCUUGUUGUUGCUUGUGAGGGCAUACCAGGUUAAUGGUCACAUGAAAGCUAAAUUGGACCCCUUGGGUCUGGAAGAGAGAGAAAUCCCUGAUGAUUUGGACCCUGCUCUAUAUGGGUUUACUGAGGCUGAUCUCGAUAGGGAGUUCUUUUUAGGGGUCUGGAGGAUGGCUGGGUUUUUGUCUGAGAACCGUCCUGUCCAGACCCUUAGGUCCAUACUGACCCGGCUUGAGCAGGCUUACUGUGGAACUAUUGGGUAUGAGUAUAUGCACAUUGCCGAUCGUAAUAGAUGUAACUGGUUGAGAGACAAGAUUGAGACUCCGACACCAAUGCAAUACAAUAGGCAGCGUCGUGAGGUUAUUCUUGAUAGGCUUAUUUGGAGUACACAAUUUGAGAACUUCUUGGCCACUAAGUGGACAGCAGCAAAGAGGUUUGGGCUUGAAGGUGGAGAAACUCUGAUUCCAGGCAUGAAAGAGAUGUUUGAUAGGGCAGCAGAUCUUGGGGUUGAGAGCAUAGUUAUUGGAAUGUCUCACAGAGGAAGACUGAAUGUAUUGGGUAAUGUGGUUCGGAAGCCUUUGCGUCAGAUAUUUAGUGAAUUCAGUGGUGGUACAAAGCCUGUGGAUGAAGUUGGACUAUACACAGGGACUGGUGAUGUCAAGUAUCACUUGGGAACCUCUUAUGAUCGACCCACUAGAGGUGGGAACAGAAUUCAUUUAUCUUUGCUUGCUAAUCCAAGUCACUUGGAAGCUGUAGACCCUGUUGUUGUUGGGAAGACUAGAGCAAAGCAAUAUUAUUCAAGUGAUCCGGACAGGACCAAGAAUGUGGGUAUCUUGAUUCAUGGAGAUGGUAGCUUUGCUGGGCAAGGUGUGGUCUACGAGACUCUGCAUCUAAGUGCUCUUCCUAACUACACCACUGGUGGGACUAUACACAUUGUGGUGAACAACCAAGUUGCCUUCACAACUGAUCCAAUGUCUGGAAGAUCUUCACAGUAUUGUACUGAUGUUGCCAAAGCAUUGAAUGCCCCUAUUUUCCAUGUAAAUGCUGAUGACAUGGAGGCAGUCGUUCAUGUCUGUGAGCUUGCAGCUGAAUGGCGCCAGACUUUCCAUUCUGAUGUUGUUGUUGAUUUGGUGUGCUAUCGUCGAUUUGGGCAUAAUGAGAUUGAUGAGCCAUCUUUCACGCAGCCCAAAAUGUACAAGGUUAGACCAUCUUUCCUAGUCAUUAAAAAUCAAGAAAUUUUUUUACUUUUCUCAUGAUAAAAUGUCAAAAUCUCACUUUAUUGGGGGUUUAUAGGUUAUCCGGAAUCAUCCCUCAGCUCUAACAAUCUACCAGAACAAACUUCUAGAAUCUGGACAAGUGACCAAAGAAGACAUUGAAAGGAUACAGAACAAGGUUAAUUCAAUUCUCAAUGAAGAAUUCUUGGCUAGCAAGGAUUAUGUUCCUCAAAGAAGGGACUGGCUUUCAUCUCAUUGGUCUGGAUUUAAGUCACCUGAACAGAUUUCCCGUAUCCGGAAUACUGGGUAUAGCACUGUUUUUCUAUCAGUUGCACCUCUUCUUCCUAAUAUUCGAUUUGACUUAAUUGUAUUUUAAUGAAUUUAUAUCCUGUACAGGGUAAAACCAGAGAUUUUGAAGAGUGUUGGCAAAGCAGUCACAUCCCUCCCAGAAACUUUUAAGCCUCACAGAGCAGUAAAGAAGAAUUAUGAACAACGCGCACAAAUGAUUGAGACCGGUGAAGGAAUUGAUUGGGCAGUUGCUGAAGCACUUGCAUUUGCUACACUACUAGUAGAAGGUAACCAUGUUCGAUUGAGCGGUCAGGAUGUUGAAAGAGGUACAUUUAGUCAUCGGCACUCUGUAGUUCACGACCAGGAAACUGGGGAGAGGUAUUGCCCUCUUGACCACAUUAUGGCUAACCAAGAUGAGGAAAUGUUUACAGUUAGCAACAGGUAAUGAGUGAUUACUUUUUAUAGCGUUCCCUUUUGUAAGGUUGUAGGACUGCCAGACACCACAUUAUGACUUAUUAGAUAUUGAAUAGUACUUGGCUAAAUUGGUGUUUUCGUUUUUAAUUUGCCUUGUACAGAAGCUAAUUGUGUUUGUAUGUACAGCUCACUGUCUGAGUUUGGUGUUCUGGGAUUUGAAUUGGGUUACUCGAUGGAGAGUCCGAAUGCAUUGGUAAUCUGGGAAGCUCAAUUUGGUGAUUUUGCCAAUGGAGCUCAAGUUAUAUUUGAUCAGUUUUUGAGUAGUGGGGAGUCCAAAUGGCUUCGUCAAACUGGGCUUGUUGUGCUGCUUCCUCAUGGUUAUGAUGGCCAGGGCCCUGAACAUUCUAGUGCACGACUGGAGCGAUUUCUUCAGGUAUUCUUUUGUCAAAUAUGGUUAAUCCCUCCCCCCCCCCCUCUUCCCUUUUUCCACUUUAGACAACAGCUGUCUCUGGCAUGGAUCCCCAUCUUAACUAAUUUUAUUACAGAUGAGUGAUGACAAUCCUUUUGUCAUACCUGAGAUGGAUCCUACACUUCGGAAGCAAAUUCAGGAAUGCAAUUGGCAGGUUGUUAAUGUGACAACUCCUGCCAACUACUUCCAUGUUCUGCGUCGUCAGGUGACUUAAAAGCUAUUUCAUUUAUCAGCAUUUUCCAGUAUCUUGAAAAAUUUAUGCAGGUUCUAAUGUUCUUGUUUCAUUUCUCAGUUGCACAGGGAAUUCCGUAAGCCCCUUAUUGUGAUGGCUCCUAAAAACCUGCUAAGGCACAAGGAGUGCAAAUCAAAUUUAUCUGAAUUUGAUGAUGUGCAAGGCCACCCAGGUUUUGACAAGCAGGGGACCAGAUUUAAGCGCCUCAUCAAGGACCAGAAUGACCACUCUAAUCUGGAGGAGGGUAUUAGACGGCU